GAUGAAGAACGUAGCGAAAUGCGAUAAGUAAUGUGAAUUGCAGAAUUCAGUGAAUCAUCGAGUCUUUGAACGCACAUUGCGCCCCCUGGUAUUCCGGGGGGCAUGCCCGUCCGAGCGUCAUUGCUGCCCUCAAGCACGGCUUGUGUGUUGGGCCUCCGUCCUCCUCCCGGGGGACGGGCCCGAAAGGCAGCGGCGGCACCGCGUCCGGUCCUCGAGCGUAUGGGGCUUCGUCACCCGCUCUUGUAGGCCCGGCCGGCGCUUGCCGACACAUCAAUCUUUUUUCCAGGUUGACCUCGGAUCAGGUAGGGAUACCCGCUGAACUUAAGCAUAUCAAUAAGCGGAGGA
Molecule: unclassified non-coding RNA, 345 nt
Filed under: soil metagenome
Description: partial contains 5.8S ribosomal RNA, internal transcribed spacer 2, and large subunit ribosomal RNA
Rfam family: 5.8S ribosomal RNA (bases 1-120)
Source: RNAcentral